This 332-nucleotide ribosomal RNA is filed under the name uncultured Glomeromycotina. RNAcentral's name for it is "eukaryotic LSU rRNA". The record is from RNAcentral. Lineage: Eukaryota; Fungi; Glomeromycota.
CAGUCAUACCAACGGGAAAUCAACCUUUUGAGCUUGGUUUCGUGGGUUUUGAAGAGUUUCAAAGCCUUCGGAUUCGCGAGAUUGGGAUCUCUCGGUGUACUUUCUCGUACGGUUAGUCAACAUCGGUUUUGAAUGUCAUAAAAUGACUGGAGGAAUGUAGCUUCGAUCUCGUAUUGAAGUGUUAUAGCCUUUGGUAGAUGUGAUGUUUGAGACCGAGGAUUGCAACGGAUACCCUUCAGGGCUAUUCGUCUGAUCUCUGAUACGUUGCCUUGAUGUUGAAAGCUUGCUUAUGAUGUUAGGGUAUUACGGUCAAAAGGUUAGAACGAAUUACA